CUACCAUGCAGUCGACGGAGCACCCUUGAUUGAGGUUUCGGCCAAAUGAUAGGAAUGCUUAGUGGCGGACUGGUGAGUAACGCGUGAGGAACCUGCCUUUCAGAGGGGGACAACAGUUGGAAACGACUGCUAAUACCGCAUGACGCAUAGAGGUCACAUGACCUUUAUGUCAAAGAUUUAUCGCUGAAAGAUGGCCUCGCGUCUGAUUAGAUAGUUGGCGGGGUAACGGCCCACCAAGUCGACGAUCAGUAGCCGGACUGAGAGGUUGACCGGCCACAUUGGGACUGAGAUACGGCCCAGACUCCUACGGGAGGCAGCAGUGGGGAAUAUUGGGCAAUGGGCGCAAGCCUGACCCAGCAACGCCGCGUGAAGGAAGAAGGCUUUCGGGUUGUAAACUUCUUUUAAGUGGGAAGAGCAGAAGACGGUACCACUUGAAUAAGCCACGGCUAACUACGUGCCAGCAGCCGCGGUAAUACGUAGGUGGCAAGCGUUGUCCGGAUUUACUGGGUGUAAAGGGCGUGCAGCCGGGCAUGCAAGUCAGAUGUGAAAUCUCAGGGCUUAACCCUGAAACUGCAUUUGAAACUGUAUGUCUUGAGUGCCGG
This 602-nucleotide ribosomal RNA is filed under the name uncultured bacterium. Its description in RNAcentral is "bacterial SSU rRNA". It matches the Rfam family "Bacterial small subunit ribosomal RNA", at positions 49 to 652 of the family's 1533-position model. The record is from RNAcentral.